CGUGUAGGCGGUUGGUCAAGUCGGGUGUGAAAGCCUGGGGCUCAGCCCCAGAAGUGCAUCCGAAACUAGCCAGCUGGAGCGCGAUAGAGGAGGGUGGAAUUCCUGGUGUAGCGGUGAAAUGCGUAGAUAUCAGGAGGAACACCGGCGGCGAAGGCGGCCCUCUGGAUCGUUGCUGACGCUGAGACGCGAAAGCGUGGGGAGCAAACAGGAUUAGAUACCCUGGUAGUCCACGCCUUAAACGAUGGGUACUAGGUGUUCGGGGUGUUGACCCCCUGAGUGCCGCAGUUAACGCAUUAAGUACCCCGCCUGGGGACUACGGCCGCAAGGUUAA
RNAcentral lists this ribosomal RNA (331 nucleotides) under uncultured bacterium. Its description in RNAcentral is "bacterial SSU rRNA". It matches the Rfam family "Bacterial small subunit ribosomal RNA", at positions 568 to 897 of the family's 1533-position model. The record is from RNAcentral.